RNAcentral lists this ribosomal RNA (568 nucleotides) under uncultured bacterium. RNAcentral's name for it is "bacterial SSU rRNA". It matches the Rfam family "Bacterial small subunit ribosomal RNA", at positions 53 to 614 of the family's 1533-position model. The record is from RNAcentral.
ACAUGCAAGUCGAGUGCGCAGUCUGCUGUAGCAAUACAGCAGGCCGGCGCACGGCGCACGGGUGCGUAACACGUGGGCAACCUGCCCUCCAAAGGGGGAUAACCCGCCGAAAGGCGGGCUAAUACCGCAUGAUAUUCCGGUGGCUUCGGCCGCCGGAAUCAAAGUCCGCAAGGACGUUGGAGGAGGGGCCCGCGCCCGAUUAGCUUGUUGGCGAGGUAACGGCUCACCAAGGCUUUGAUCGGUAGCCGGUCUGAGAGGAUGGCCGGCCACACUGGAACUGAGACACGGUCCAGACUCCUACGGGAGGCAGCAGUGGGGAAUCUUGCGCAAUGGGCGAAAGCCUGACGCAGCGACGCCGCGUGGGGGAUGAAGCUUCUCGGAGUGUAAACCCCUUUCGACCCGGACGAAACGCCCGCAAGGGCUUGACGGUACGGGUAUAAGAAGCCCCGGCUAACUACGUGCCAGCAGCCGCGGUAAGACGUAGGGGGCCAGCGUUGCUCGGAAUUACUGGGCGUAAAGGGUUCGUAGGCGGUGCGGUAAGUCGGAAGUGAAAUCUCUGGGCUUAACU